CUCCCAUGCUGUGUGCAUUGGUAUAGAGGCACUUCAGCUUGGCUAUUGGCCUCAUUGCCUUAUCAGAGGAGCCCUCCCUAAUACCUCCAGGGCAAGACUGGGGUUUUCCCUUACCACCUCCCAAGGUGAAAGCAUUCCUGUGGUCUUCUCUGUCACCCAGUACAUCCCCUUCCCCCCAUCAUCUCUAGUUUAAAGCCCUGCUAACCAGCCCAGCCAACUUGUUCCCAAGAAUAUUUGUAGCCCUUCUAGGCAGUCAGCUCCCAUUCGCUGUCAGCAUUCCCCCUUUCUCAAGGCUGCGUCCCAAGCCUGGUUACAGGUCAGCCUCAUAGUCUUGGUCUGUCUGCCUUGACUGGUGGGAGUGUAAAUCAUCAGGUUUGUGUGUCAAGCCUUUGCUCUCAAUUAAUUGCUGCCAUUGGAACGGCACCUAUUAAAGCAUGACCUGUCCAUAAAGCGUGUCGUCAGCACUGCCUGAUGCCUCAUCCUAAGCUGCCUUGUUAUGGGGUCACAUACCAAAUGUGCCAGCACCAUCUGCUGGGACUCCUGGACAACACUGCUGUUAGAAACUCUGCUUUUGGUUGGUGCCUUUGUGUGAUGUGAAAUUCCCUACCAACCUCUGAAAUAGAGCUUUCUCCUAAGCCCUACGCUCCUGUCUGCUAAGCUGUGCAUUCUUAUCACUGCAGAGUGUGGUUCUUGUUUGCUUUUGCAGGUGUUUGUAACUUGGUGAAUAACGCUCUGAAGGCAUCACAGACUGCCUGCUUGUCUCUGCAGUGCUCGGGGCUUUUCUGAGCUGCAGGCUCGCUGCAGCCCCGUGGCAUAGCCUUGCAUCUGGUGACGAACUGAAGCUGGAGAAUCCUGGCAGCAGAGGACGCUCCUGCCCCACCGAAGGGCUCACAGCUCCACCGCAGCUCCACCGACCUCAGUGCUGGUGAGGAGGCUGAGAUGCCUCCAAGUGAUGAAUGCAGUCCACCCAACCUUACACCUCGUGUGGUUCACUGUGCGAGGCGACCAGGAAGAAAGGAUAUUUUACAGGUUCUGACUCAGGUUCAGAGAUUUUAAGUUUACCGUCUGGAAUUAAAGCAUUCUUCAACUGCCUGUUCUGCCACCUGAUCCGCCAUCUUAUCUCCAGUUUCCUGUACAGUGCUACCUUUCUGAUGUCCUUUACAGAGUAUAAUAGCCAUGCUCUUUGGUAGGUGUACAUCAUACUGAAUGUUUUCCUUGUGUGUGAGCAAUCCUUGCUCUUUCCAGAGGGCACUAUGAGCGUGUUCCACCCCAAAAGCAUGUUUAGCAUCUGACCAUGUAUUUAAGGCUCUUGUCAAGGCAGUUAUUGCAGCCUUCUGAGCCAAGUCCCCACAGGCAAUGGUUGUUCGAUUACCUGGUCAGUAGCAGUUACUGCAUAUCCUGCCUUACGGUUGCCUUGUCUCACAACACUGCUUCUGUCGGAUGAACCCAGGAAUCCUCAGCACUGUCCAAUGGUUCCUCCUGUAGGUCUGGCCGACUGGCACAGUCAGUCUCCAAGCAGUCGCACGCUGCCGGUUUGGAGGUAGUUCUGUGUUGGUGUUAGAAUCAUGGAAUGGCCUGGGUUGAGAAGGACCUCAAAGAUCGUCCAGUUCCAACCCCCUGCUAUGUGCAGGGUCACCAACCGACGGACCAGGCUGCCCAGAGCCUUGUCUUGAAGAAGAUUGUUUUUAGGAGAACAAAAACUUUGGAUCACCUUUCAAAUACAGAGAAAAAAAUAACGCUGUAUUAUUUUUUUGUUUUAUUUUCCUGUUGUUAUGAUCAGGUAAAGAGACAGACAUAUCACAUCUCAGAAAUGGCUUUACUUCAGUGGCCUUAAAUGGUCCCUCUGUGAUCAUUAUUUUCUUAUUGAAUCGCUGUCAGACACAGCUGGUGGAUUUUUGUACGUGCAGUUUGGAGUUCCUGGCUAAAAUGAACCACAUGAAUACAGAUUACGGAUAUUCUUAUCUCAGCACGCUUUUGAGAUGGAGCAUUCAAAUUACAAGACCUUCAGUCUGCUGUUUUAAUCUGACCCAGAAGGAAAACUUCACUACAGUUCGUUUCCUUGAUUCCCGUGCAAUUUUAUUUUGGAACUGAAGCUCAAUCGAAUUUAAACAACUUUUUUGAAAGUCUGUAAUGAAAGUUGCAUUUUUGCUUACACGUAGCCGCUUUGACCCACGGUGAAUGGAAGUCAUAAAGCAGGGUAUAAAGGGAGUUUCUAAAUUGCCUGUUGUUGAGUCCAUUGAAGGCAACAGGAGAGUCCAGAAUGUGACCUUUGAGAGCAAAUUUGCCUCUGCUUCUUACUGAAUUUUGUGUUGCGUUUUUCUGUAUAUAUAUUUCUUUUGACUCAGAAAUACAAAUUAUAAUGAAGGUGAGGCACUUCACAAUACGUUUGGCUUCAGCAUUGCUGAAUAUACAUUUGUAUAUGUAUAUAUAUUAUAUAUAUAUUGUACAGCAAAACAUUUCAGAAUCUGCAGAACGUUGCUAAUAACUGCAGUGGAACAGGGAGGAAUAGUGAAAACAGAUUUCUGCUUUGAAUGCUUUCAAAUUUAAUAAUU
Molecule: long non-coding RNA, 2552 nt
Filed under: Gallus gallus (chicken)
Lineage: Eukaryota; Metazoa; Chordata; Aves; Galliformes; Phasianidae
Source: RNAcentral